UACGUAGGUCCCGAGCGUUGUCCGGAUUUAUUGGGCGUAAAGCGAGCGCAGGUUGUUUAAUAAGUCUGAUGUAAAAGGCAGUGGCUCAACCAUUGUGUGCAUUGGAAACUGUUAGACUUGAGUGCAGUAGAGGAGAGUGGAAUUCCAUGUGUAGCGGUGAAAUGCGUAGAGAUCAGGAGGAACACCGGUGGCGAAAGCGGCUCUCUGGACUGUCACUGACACUGAGGCUCGAAAGCGUGGGUAGCAAACAGG
This 252-nucleotide ribosomal RNA is filed under the name uncultured microorganism. RNAcentral's name for it is "partial 16S ribosomal RNA". It matches the Rfam family "Bacterial small subunit ribosomal RNA", at positions 524 to 776 of the family's 1533-position model. The record is from RNAcentral.